CUCUUCGGAGGCGUUACACAGGUGCUGCAUGGCCGUCGUCAGCUCGCGUCGUGAGAUGUUUGGUUAAGUCCAGCAACGAGCGCAACCCCUGUUGCCAGUUACCAGCACGUGAAGGUGGGGACUCUGGCGAGACUGCCCAGAUCAACUGGGAGGAAGGUGGGGACGACGUCAGGUCAGUAUGGCCCUUAUGCCCAGGGCUGCACACGUACUACAAUGCCCAGUACAGAGGGGGCCGAAGCCGCGAGGCGGAGGAAAUCCUAAAAACUGGGCCCAGUUCGGACUGUAGGCUGCAACCCGCCUACACGAAGCCGGAAUCGCUAGUAAUGGCGCAUCAGCUACGGCGCCGUGAAUACGUUCCCGGGUCUUGUACACACCGCCCGUCACAUCAUGGAAGCCAGUCGCACCCGAAGUAUCUGAAGCCAACCGCAAGGAGGCAGGGUCCUAAGGUGAGACUGGUAACUGGGAUGAAGUCGUAACAAGGUAGCCGUAGGGGAACCUGCGGC
RNAcentral lists this ribosomal RNA (503 nucleotides) under uncultured bacterium. RNAcentral describes it as "bacterial SSU rRNA". It matches the Rfam family "Bacterial small subunit ribosomal RNA", at positions 1016 to 1518 of the family's 1533-position model. The record is from RNAcentral.